UACGGACGGUGCUAGCGUUACUCGGAAUUACUGGGCGUAAAGCGCACGUAGGCGGUCUGUCAAGUCGGAUGUGAAAUCCCCGGGCUUAACCUGGGAACUGCAUCGGAAACUGGCAGGCUAGAGUCCUGUAGAGGGGAGUAGAACUCCAGGUGUAGCGGUGAAAUGCGUAGAGAUCUGGAGGAAUACCGGUGGCGAAGGCGGCCCCCUGGACAAAGACUGACGCUCAGGUGCGAAAGCGUGGGGAGCAAACAGG
RNAcentral lists this unclassified non-coding RNA (253 nucleotides) under uncultured Enterobacteriaceae bacterium. RNAcentral's name for it is "contains 16S-23S intergenic spacer region". It matches the Rfam family "Bacterial small subunit ribosomal RNA", at positions 524 to 776 of the family's 1533-position model. Lineage: Bacteria; Pseudomonadati; Pseudomonadota; Gammaproteobacteria; Enterobacterales; Enterobacteriaceae. The record is from RNAcentral.